UCUACUGGGUGUCUGUGUCAGUGCAUUUGGACUGCAUGUGGGCUGCAGCAGGCAUAUGGAGCAGGGGUGGAUGGUGAAGAAGUAUGCAUCUACUGGAAGCCAGUGCUGGUCACACAGAGGGGUAUUGGAAUAUCCAGCUGAAGACCAAGGACCUAUGAAAGGAGCCUGGGGGCUCUGAGAGGAAAGGGCCAGGUGACUGGGCUCCAGGGAGAGAGAUGAAGGAGCUGGUAUUUGAAGUACUUUGGAGGCCAGUCCAACCACAGCGGUAUUGCCUGCUGCUGUCUGAGCUGUGGGAUUUUGCGGUGUCAUCAGAGGCCAGAGUCUUAUGACUUGGGGCAAGAGAGAAACACCCCAAAAAACUUCUAGUGGUAUUCUGGCUGAUUUUGGUUGCUUCCGCUGACUCAUGCCAAUUUGGCGGGAG
This 421-nucleotide long non-coding RNA is filed under the name Mus pahari (shrew mouse). RNAcentral's name for it is "predicted gene 11210 (MGP_PahariEiJ_G0006176.1)". The record is from RNAcentral. Lineage: Eukaryota; Metazoa; Chordata; Mammalia; Rodentia; Muridae.